Long non-coding RNA from Lolium perenne, 931 nucleotides. RefSeq lists it as uncharacterized. The record is from RefSeq and is a predicted model, not a curated record. Lineage: Eukaryota; Viridiplantae; Streptophyta; Magnoliopsida; Poales; Poaceae.
CCAAACUGAAAUUGGAGCCUGAACCACCCAACACCCAAAAUCCCCUCCCAUCGCCGCAUCCUCUCUCCUCCCGUUCCCCAUUCCUCCUGCUCCAUCUACGGCAGAUCCCGGCCAACUCCGGCCAGCCCCCCUGCCUUGCUGGCCACCAUCCCGACACUCCCUCAUCCUCCUCUCUCGAAUCCUCCGCGAGGAACAGCCAGGCCGCAUCACCACCUCAAACCCUAGCCUCCGGCUCUACAGAGCUCAAGUUUCGACCUUUGGGUCCAUGGCGGCGACACGGCCGCAGGACGGGGUGAGGCGGUUCGGUGGCGAUCUUAACGCGCAGACCGCAAUGGAUUUCUCAGCUCCAUGCGCGUGGCGCACCUGAAUCCUCUUUUUUGCCACCCCGCUCAAACCCUAGACCCGCCGCGGCCAAAUCCUAUCACCGCCCCAACUCCGGCAACCGAGAUCAUGUUGGCCACCGUGGAAGGCCAAGGACUACUACGAAGAGGGCCACGCGCCAGGAGGACAGCGGCAACGCCCCGACAAACAUGCUGCUGCUACCCCCCGUGAGCGAGGUUCAAAUCAUAUUUGGGCACCAAGCUGCUGCUUAUGGAACCAUACCAGGAGGUGGCGGCCAGCCAGGUGAGGAGGAGGCUGACUUCAUCGGUGACAUCUGCAAGUGCCGCGGGGAGGUGCUACAGUCGCUGAUGAUCGACGGCAUCUAUUGACUUGGUCUCCGGAAAGAGAAACUCACCGACGAGGAGGUGCGCCGUUGUCGUGACAAGGAUGCUGAACUGCUGCUUGUUGCCUACACCAUCCGCGUUGAAGGCCUCCUGAAGCUCUUGCCUGUGCUCACUGAUCCGACCUGGCACAACUCCGAUGGGCUGCUGUUGCCAAUGACUUGCAGCUGGUUCAAAUCAUAUCAGAGGAUGAGAAGGAGAGACUCAAU